RNAcentral lists this ribosomal RNA (497 nucleotides) under uncultured bacterium. RNAcentral describes it as "partial 16S ribosomal RNA". It matches the Rfam family "Bacterial small subunit ribosomal RNA", at positions 28 to 507 of the family's 1533-position model. The record is from RNAcentral.
GAUGAACGCUGGCGGCGUGCCUAAUACAUGCAAGUCGAGCGAACGGACGAGAAGCUUGCUUCUCUGAUGUUAGCGGCGGACGGGUGAGUAACACGUGGAUACCCUACCUAUAAGACUGGGAUCACUUCGGGAAACCGUAUCUAAUACCGGAUAAUAUUUUGCACCGCAUGGUUCAAAAGUGAAAGACGGUCUUGCUGUCACUUAUCGCUGGAUCCGCGCUGCUUUAGCUAGUUGGUAGGGUAACGGCUUACCAAGGCAACGAUGCAUAGCCGACCUGAGAGGGUGAUCGGCCACACUGGAGCGGAGACACGGUCCAGACUCCUGCGGGAGGCAGCAGUAGGGAAUCUUACGCAAUGGGCGAAAGCCUGACGGAGCAACGCCGCGUGAGUGAUGAAGGUCUUCGGAUCGUAAAACUCUGUUAUGAGGGAAGAACAUAUGUGUAAGGAACUGUGCACAUCGUGACGGUACCUAAUCAGAAAGCAACGGCUAACUACGUG